Long non-coding RNA from Syngnathoides biaculeatus (alligator pipefish), 1149 nucleotides. RefSeq lists it as uncharacterized. The record is from RefSeq and is a predicted model, not a curated record. Lineage: Eukaryota; Metazoa; Chordata; Actinopteri; Syngnathiformes; Syngnathidae. The transcript has 3 exons.
UGCAGAGUACAAACAGGUAGAGUCUGCUGCGGGUUUCGUACGGACGCCCAGCUGGUUGACAAGCGGACCUCUACCUGGGUGAUCGGCUCUCCACCUUCUCGGCAUAGACGCCAGCAGAAGAUCCCUGUGCCUUUUACGCAGACCCUGGAAACAUGUCCAUUUACACGUUUUGACCAAGAUACAUGCAAAUUUUGUGACAAGCAUGUGACUACGACUGCCACUUCCAAUGAAGAUAAAAAGCUGAGAGUCGGACGUCUGGCAUUGAGUGGAAAGUGCAGAGAUGGGUGGGUUUAUUUUGACCAUGGAGGAGUGGGGGGGGCCUUUGUUCCAGCUGCCACUGCAGAUUUAGGCAUCUACGAAGGGCCUGUCAGAAACAGGCUUAUCUCUUUGGGGCCUCUCCGUGGUACAAAGAGCCAUUUAGAUCGAACUGGCCCGGAGUAAAAUCUUCAUUAUAUGGCGCUUAAAGGAGCAACAGAUCGCUGGCUCUUUAAGAUGAAUUGGAGGCAAGUGGUUGGCCAAACACGAGGAGGUGGUGGCCAAUAUGCUUGAGUUUAUGUCUGGACAUCGCCACGAUCUUUGGUGAUGAUACCGUUUUGUCCCUGUGCCUUUUACACGCAACUCUUGAUGAUAUCUGGAUGUGCUGUGCCUUCUCAAGACAUUCAAAUGGACUGUUAGGGGGGAAAAGUCCAGGAAAAAAAUAUCCACUUAAAAAUAUUUAAAAAGUUGUUUCAUUUGAGAUUUAAAAAAAAUAAUAAUAAAAAGUUUGUUUUAUAUAUUUUUUUAUUUAUCUUUUUUCCAUAAUUUAAUGAGAAAUUUAGAAAGUCGUUACUAUAGCGCAAAGUCUAAAUUAAUGAGAAAAGCCAUAACUAUUCCGUAUAAAAAGUUAUAGGAGUACAGUAGAAUUUGUAGAAAAAGAGAUUUUAAAAAAAAUUUGGAGGGAGACAAAAAAAAAAUCAUAAUACUAUAGGGAUAGAAUUCAUUUUCAAGGAAAAACAUCAUGCAGGGGUUUGAAUAAAGUUGUUUUUUCCUCGUGUUAAAAAGUUGUAAUAUUUGAAGAAUAAAGUCAUCGGUGAUGAUCCACUAUUUUGAUCGUGUCUCUUUUCAUGGAACCGUUGUUGAUAUUUGUCAGUUCACUGCUGAGGACCAAUC